CUCAUUAAAUCAGUUAUAGUUUAUUUGAUGGUCUCUUUGUUCUUCUUUUUACCUACUUGGAUAACCGUGGUAAUUCUAGAGCUAAUACAUGCGCAAGGUCCCGAGCGCGGAGGGUAGGGCUUCACGGCUCUAUCCUUGCAUGCGCAGAGGGAUGUAUUUAUUAGGUUAAACAACCAGCAUUUUCAUAUCAUCUGGUGAUUUCAUAGUAACUCUUUCGGAUCGCAUUCAUG
RNAcentral lists this ribosomal RNA (230 nucleotides) under uncultured Acanthamoeba. RNAcentral describes it as "partial 18S ribosomal RNA". It matches the Rfam family "Eukaryotic small subunit ribosomal RNA", at positions 97 to 279 of the family's 1831-position model. Lineage: Eukaryota; Discosea; Longamoebia; Acanthamoebidae. The record is from RNAcentral.